CCUACGGGAGGCAGCAGUGGGGAAUAUUGGACAAUGGGCGCAAGCCUGAUCCAGCAAUGCCGCGUGUGUGAAGAAGGCCCUCGGGUUGUAAAGCACUUUUAUCAGGAACGAAAUACCACGGGUUAAUACCCUAUGGGGCUGACGGUACCUGAGGAAUAAGCACCGGCUAACUUCGUGCCAGCAGCCGCGGUAAUACGAAGGGUGCAAGCGUUAAUCGGAAUUACUGGGCGUAAAGGGUGCGUAGGCGGUUCGUUAAGUCUGUCGUGAAAUCCCCGGGCUCAACCUGGGAAUGGCGAUGGAUACUGGCGAGCUAGAGUGUGUCAGAGGAUGGUGGAAUUCCCGGUGUAGCGGUGAAAUGCGUAGAGAUCGGGAGGAACAUCAGUGGCGAAGGCGGCCAUCUGGGACAACACUGACGCUGAAGCACGAAAGCGUGGGGAGCAAACAGGAUUAGAUACCCUGGUAGUCCACGCCCUAAACGAUGCGAACUGGAUGUUGGUCUCAACUCGGAGAUCAGUGUCGAAGCUAACGCGUUAAGUUCGCCGCCUGGGGAGUACGGUCGCAAGACUGAAACUCAAAGGAAUUGACGGA
This 588-nucleotide ribosomal RNA is filed under the name uncultured Rhodanobacter sp. RNAcentral describes it as "bacterial SSU rRNA". It matches the Rfam family "Bacterial small subunit ribosomal RNA", at positions 338 to 917 of the family's 1533-position model. Lineage: Bacteria; Pseudomonadati; Pseudomonadota; Gammaproteobacteria; Lysobacterales; Rhodanobacteraceae. The record is from RNAcentral.